RNAcentral lists this ribosomal RNA (253 nucleotides) under uncultured bacterium. Its description in RNAcentral is "partial 16S ribosomal RNA". It matches the Rfam family "Bacterial small subunit ribosomal RNA", at positions 524 to 776 of the family's 1533-position model. The record is from RNAcentral.
UACGAAGGGGGCUAGCGGUGUUCGGAUUUACUGGGCGUAAAGCGCGUGUAGGCGGGUCGUUAAGUUGGGGGUGAAAUCCCGAGGCUCAACCUCGGAACUGCCCUCAAAACCGGCGACCUGGACUCAAGCAGAGGCAAGUGGAAUUGCGAGUGUAGAGGUGAAAUUCGUAGAUAUUCGCAGGAACACCAGUGGCGAAGGCGACUUGCUGGGCUUGUAGUGACGCUGAGACGCGAAAGCGUGGGGAGCAAACAGG